GACGAACGCUGGCGGCGUGCUUAACACAUGCAAGUCGAACGGAAAGGCCCUGCUUUUGUGGGGUGCUCGAGUGGCGAACGGGUGAGUAACACGUGAGUAACCUGCCCUUGACUUUGGGAUAACUUCAGGAAACUGGGGCUAAUACCGGAUAGGAGCUCCUGCUGCAUGGUGGGGGUUGGAAAGUUUCGGCGGUUGGGGAUGGACUCGCGGCUUAUCAGCUUGUUGGUGGGGUAGUGGCUUACCAAGGCUUUGACGGGUAGCCGGCCUGAGAGGGUGACCGGACACAUUGGGACUGAGAUACGGCCCAGACUGCUACGGGAGGCAGCAGUGGGGAAUAUUGCACAAUGGGCGGAAGCCUGAUGCAGCAACGCCGCGUGCGGGAUGACGGCCUUCGGGUUGUAAACCGCUUUCGCCUGUGACGAAGCGUGAGUGACGGUAAUGGGUAAAGAAGCACCGGCUAACUACGUG
RNAcentral lists this ribosomal RNA (468 nucleotides) under uncultured bacterium. Its description in RNAcentral is "partial 16S ribosomal RNA". It matches the Rfam family "Bacterial small subunit ribosomal RNA", at positions 28 to 507 of the family's 1533-position model. The record is from RNAcentral.